UUCCACUUUCUUGACAAAUUUGUGCAAAAUGUUUUCAGGUACUCAACCUAUUGAUGCACAUGGACAUGAUGACUCUUUAGCGUUUAUGGAGCAACCAACCUGUAAUCAUGGACCUUAUUGUCUUGUAGACCAUUUGGUGUUUCGAGUGUUUUGAAGCUUGCACUUUGUGCAUGUAGAUACAAACUUGUGUGUUCUGGACCAUCUGAAGUCUCUCAUAGUAACCAAUAGUCCUUAUAUUUUUGCGACUUGUGUGUUCUAGAUGAUUGUUAAGAUGGUCAAAACUAUGCUUCCUCUAGGUUAAUUUGUUUGUCAACUUGCGUC
Molecule: long non-coding RNA, 321 nt
Filed under: Hordeum vulgare
Lineage: Eukaryota; Viridiplantae; Streptophyta; Magnoliopsida; Poales; Poaceae
Description: long non-coding RNA (HVUL_LNC009410)
Source: RNAcentral